Molecule: ribosomal RNA, 446 nt
Filed under: uncultured bacterium
Lineage: Bacteria
Description: SSU rRNA
Rfam family: Bacterial small subunit ribosomal RNA
Source: RNAcentral
AGAACGAACGCUGGCGGCAGGCCUAACACAUGCAAGUCGAGCGACCCAGCAAUGGGGAGCGGCAGACGGGUGAGUAACACGUGGGAACGUACCCUUCGGUUCGGAACAACUCGGGGAAACUUGAGCUAAUACCGGAUACGUCCGAGAGGAGAAAGAUUUAUCGCCGAAGGAUCGGCCCGCGUCUGAUUAGCUAGUUGGUGAGGUAACGGCUCACCAAGGCGACGAUCAGUAGCUGGUCUGAGAGGAUGAUCAGCCACAUUGGGACUGAGACACGGCCCAAACUCCUACGGGAGGCAGCAGUGGGGAAUAUUGGACAAUGGGCGCAAGCCUGAUCCAGCCAUGCCGCGUGAGUGAUGAAGGCCUUAGGGUUGUAAAGCUCUUUUACCUGGGAAGAUAAUGACGGUACCAGGAGAAUAAGCCCCGGCUAACUUCGUGCCAGCAGCCGC